CAUAUAUAUAUAUAUACACAAUUGUGUGUGUGUGUGUGUAUGUAUAUAUAUAUAUAUACAUACACACACACACACACACACAAUUGUGUAUGUUUAUU
Non-coding RNA from Pelobates cultripes (western spadefoot toad), 98 nucleotides. The record is from the annotation of a GenBank genome assembly. NCBI's taxonomy places the organism in Eukaryota, Metazoa, Chordata, Amphibia, Anura, Pelobatidae.